RNAcentral lists this ribosomal RNA (378 nucleotides) under Triticum aestivum (bread wheat). RNAcentral's name for it is "partial small subunit ribosomal RNA". Lineage: Eukaryota; Viridiplantae; Streptophyta; Magnoliopsida; Poales; Poaceae. The record is from RNAcentral.
AUGGAAGAAGUGCCAAUAUUCGAUGGAGAGGAGAGUGGAAAAAAGAAGAAUAAGAAGAAGUGCAAGAGAGAAAGGAUAGAGCAAACACAAUGUAAGGCAAAAAUGCUAGUUAAAUUGAAGGAUGGGCGGUGGGAAGUAACCCACUUUGUCCGUGAUCAUAAUCAUCCUUUGGUAGCCAAGCCUUCACUGUCCAACUACUUGCAAUCUCACAUGGGUAUAUCGCCGGAGGAAAAGAGGUUCCUAGAGAUACUCCACAACUGCAACCUAACUUCAGGCCGUAUGAUGACUAUCAUGUCAGAGUUUUAUGUCUCGGAGCUAAAUGUACCGUAUGGACCUAAAGCAAUAACAAACCUAUGUGUUGGCUUCUCCAAGGACUGA